AACUCACACAUGCGCACCAGAGACAUUCUCUUUCUCGGUGGACACAAUGGCGGACGCAGAGAAGAAGGUUCCGGCGGUACCGGAGAGCCUCUUAAAAAGGCGGAAGGCCUUCGCCACUAUGAAGGCCAUGCGUAUCAAGAAGAUGCUUGCCGACAAAAAAACUCGCAAGGUGACCAGGCACCUGAUCUACAAGAGGGCUGAGAAGUACCACAAGGAGUACAGGGAGAUGUACCGCCGUGAGAUCCGUAUGGGGAGGACGGCCCGCAAGGUCGGGAACUUCUACGUCCCAGCGGAGCCCAAGCUGGCCUUCGUCAUCAGGAUCAGGGGUAUCAACGGUGUCAGCCCCAAGGUGCGCAAGGUCCUCCAGCUCAUGCGUCUGCGUCAGAUCUUCAACGGAGUCUUCGUCAAACUGAACAAGGCUUCCAUCAACAUGCUGAGGAUCGCCGAGCCCUACAUCGCUUGGGGGUACCCCAACCUGAAGUCUGUGCGCGAGCUGAUCUACAAGCGUGGCCAUGGCAGGAUGACCAAGCAGCGCAUCGCCCUCACGGACAACGCCCUGAUCGAGAAGGCCCUGGGUAAAUACGGCAUCAUCUGCGUGGAGGACCUGAUCCACGAGAUCUACACGGUCGGGAAGAACUUCAAGCCUGCCAACAACUUCCUGUGGCCCUUCAAACUGUCCACACCCCGAGGGGGCAUGAACAAGAAGACGACUCACUUUGUGGAGGGAGGAGACGCUGGAAACAGGGAGGACCAGAUCAACAGACUCGUCAGGAGGAUGAACUAGAGAAGCAAUGGUGAGACAUUUGUUCCAGUUCCAGGGGGCUCUCAACUCCCGUUCCUGGGGAGCUACCCACCUCUGUGUGUUCCUGGGGAGCUACCCACCUCUGUGUGUUCCUGGGGAGCUACCCACCUCUGUGUGUUCCUGGGGAGCUACCCACCUCUGUGUGUUCUAGCCUGAUUUCGGCUUAUCAACCAGUUAAUUGUUAAAAUGAUCUAGUGUUGGGACGCAACACUGAUGUCAGUAAACGCAGGUCCUGAAGAUGAGUAGGCGAGACUAUUUCCACCUUACGUUUUAUGGAAUCGGCAAGAUCUCGAUUGGCUGAAUUGGGUGUCUCAGUGUCGCUCCAGCAUCAGGACAGUCUCAGGGGACAGUUUCUCAGCUCGGUCCAAUUCACCCCCCCAAAAAAAAAACCUUUUGAAAGUCAUUAUUUUCUACUUACGUGUCCAGUUUCUAGUUUACGAAAUGUGGUUAAUGAUGCUCAACUUUUUUCCCCAUCUUAUCGACUCUGGUGAAACCAGUCUGAAAAAAAUAAGCCUAUUUUGUCUGAAACCACAAAGUGAACUACUGGCACUCCAAAUCUGAAGUGAAAACCUGGUAAUUCUGGACCCGGUUGUAAAUUAAUAUAAAUAAAUAAUAUUAAUAAUUCUGCCGAGAUCCCAUUUCCUAUUUCGAUGGGGAACUAUUAUGAAUUCUCUGAUUUAAAUGGUUCAGUGUUGAAAUAGUUUUAAAAAACAAUUUUAAAAAUCCAUGUUAUUUUUCAACUGCACAUUAUUUAUUGUAGAGCAGUUUGUCCUGUUUAUUUCCCAGCAUCCCAGGCGGUGUCUUCUAUGGGCUCCCUAUUGGGCCCUCUCUAAGGUGCCCUUUGGGAUGUUACCUUGGUUUCAGUCCCGCUAAAAGCAGCUGGUUUAAACUGUUACCAAAGAUGAAUCAACAUCCUAAAAGUGAAACUGGGAUUAUAAUUAUUUUUGUUAUUGCGUGGCAUCAAGGAAACCCUUGAUGAGAUUUCUGAAAUCUUUUAGUAUUUUUGUGUAAAUCUGACUACACAAACUAUUGGAAAUGUUUAUUUGCUGUAAAUAAAAUAAAAAACCUUUUUUGUUUUCUGUUAUUCAUGUUGUGAAUUUCUUUCUUUCAGGUUUUUCCACGGGAUUCUGAGCUCUGUACAAUAAAUAAAAAAAACUCAAAAGAAACGGA
RNA transcript from Oncorhynchus gorbuscha (pink salmon), 1972 nucleotides. It is a transcript of the gene named 60S ribosomal protein L7-like, with no coding region annotated. The record is from RefSeq and is a predicted model, not a curated record. The transcript is spliced from 7 exons. Lineage: Eukaryota; Metazoa; Chordata; Actinopteri; Salmoniformes; Salmonidae.